AGGGAAUCUUCCGCAAUGGACGAAAGUCUGACGGAGCAACGCCGCGUGAGUGAUGAAGGUUUUCGGAUCGUAAAGCUCUGUUGCCAGGGAAGGACGUCCUGUAGAGUAACUGCUACAGGAGUGACGGUACCUGAGAAGAAAGCCCCGGCUAACUACGUGCCAGCAGCCGCGGUAAUACGUAGGGGGCAAGCGUUGUCCGGAAUUAUUGGGCGUAAAGCGCGCGCAGGCGGCUGUUUAAGUCUGGUGUUUAAUCCUGGGGCUCAACCCCGGGUCGCACUGGAAACUGGAUGGCUUGAGUGCGGAAGAGGAGAGUGGAAUUCCACGUGUAGCGGUGAAAUGCGUAGAGAUGUGGAGGAACACCAGUGGCGAAGGCGACUCUCUGGGCUGUAACUGACGCUGAGGCGCGAAAGCGUGGGGAGCAAAC
RNAcentral lists this ribosomal RNA (424 nucleotides) under uncultured bacterium. RNAcentral describes it as "bacterial SSU rRNA". It matches the Rfam family "Bacterial small subunit ribosomal RNA", at positions 356 to 773 of the family's 1533-position model. The record is from RNAcentral.